GUCCACGCCGUAAACGAUGUCAACUAGUUGUUGGGUUCCUUGAGGACUUAGUAACGCAGCUAACGCAUUAAGUUGACCGCCUGGGGAGUACGGCCGCAAGGUUAAAACUCAAAUGAAUUGACGGGGGCCCGCACAAGCGGUGGAGCAUGUGGUUUAAUUCGACGCAACGCGAAGAACCUUACCAAGUCUUGACAUCCGUUGACCGACAUAGAAAUAUGUUUUUCCUUCGGGACAGCGAGACAGGUGGUGCAUGGUUGUCGU
This 261-nucleotide ribosomal RNA is filed under the name uncultured bacterium. RNAcentral's name for it is "partial 16S ribosomal RNA". It matches the Rfam family "Bacterial small subunit ribosomal RNA", at positions 793 to 1055 of the family's 1533-position model. The record is from RNAcentral.